This 468-nucleotide ribosomal RNA is filed under the name uncultured bacterium. RNAcentral's name for it is "partial 16S ribosomal RNA". It matches the Rfam family "Bacterial small subunit ribosomal RNA", at positions 28 to 507 of the family's 1533-position model. The record is from RNAcentral.
GACGACCGCUCGCGGCGUGCUUAACUCAUGCCAGAUGAACGGAAAGGCCCUGCUUCUGUGCGUUGCUCGAGUGGCGAACGGGUGAGUAACACGUGAGUAACCUGCCCUUGACUUUGGGAUAACUUCAGGAAACUGGGGCUAAUACCGGAUAGGAGCUCCUGCUGCAUGGUGGGGGUUGGAAAGUUUCGGCGGUUGGGGAUGGACUCGCGGCUUAUCAGCUUGUUGGUGGGGUCGUGGCUUACCAAGGCUUUGACGGAUAGCCGGCCUGAGAGGGUGACCGGCCACCUUGGGACGGGGAAACGGCCCCGACUCCGCCGGGAGGCAGCAGUGGGCAAGACUGCACAAUGGGAGGAGUCCUGAUGCAGCAACGUCGCGUGCGGGAUGACGGCCUGGGGAUUGUAAGCCGCGAUCGCCGGUGGUGAAGAGUGUGUGAGGGGAAUCGGUAGAUAGUGACGGGCUAGCUACAGG